RNAcentral lists this long non-coding RNA (4900 nucleotides) under Sus scrofa (pig). RNAcentral describes it as "lncRNA (ENSSSCG00050063031.1)". The record is from RNAcentral. Lineage: Eukaryota; Metazoa; Chordata; Mammalia; Artiodactyla; Suidae.
UAGAUGCUGCUGCCCUGUCCCACUCUCUGGCAUCCAUAACCCUGAAAGAGCCAGAAGAAGAAAAAUGAGGAGUGAAAUGGGGAUAAAAAGGCAGGCACAUCCCCUCCCCUACCCAGGUCCCUCAGGCCAAAGGCUGGCCUGGACCAAGGGGAUAAUAAAUUCUAAAUUGGAGGUGAAAUUAAAGUUUUAAAGGACUAACUGGCAGAAAAUUCUCAGAUCUGCUAUAAAGGGACAUUCCAUCAAACACAUCUGAAGGCAAUGAUUAGAGGGAAUAAAACUGCCUCAUGCUUAUUUCUCACCAAGAUCUACCUGUUCAAUGGACUGAUGAUAAAAGCAUGGGGCCCAUUAAGACAGGAAAGGCCCAGGGUUCUAGAGAGGGGCAGAGCAGAGGAUCAAAGCCCAGCCGUGUGGAAUCAGAGACCUCCCUGAGGAGACACGCAGGAUGAACAGUCAGGCAGAGACCUGGUGUGGAAAGAGAGAAACGUCCAGUGUGGCUGCAGCGAUGAGAGAGUGGACACGAAGGCUCUGGAGAGGUGGUGGGUAGGAAAGAACCAGAUCACAAAGGUCCGGUAGGUCAAGGUGAGGAUUCUGGACUUUGUUCCAAGGAUAAAAGCCAGCCUCUGCUGGGGUUUAAGCAGGGGACUAACACUCUGAUUUGCAUGUAUAACACACAGUGUAGUUGUGGUGUGGAGUAGAGCUUGGAGAAGUGAAGAUGCGAGUUCAAGAAGCUCAUGAUGAAUUCCAAGGGAUGAUGGUGGUUUGGACCAAGGACAAUGGAGAUGGGGGAGAGGAGGUGUGGAAACAAUUUCAAGGAGCUCAGCACUUAUCCGUGGUAAAAGGUGCAUCAUCUGCAAUUUCUCCGGAGAAAAUUCAGGACAUCAGGAUGAAUCUGCGUCACUUUUGAUCCAAAGAUACACUUGACUGAGGGGACUCUGGGCAGGCAGCUAAGCCUUGACCCUGACUGGUGGUGCCAGAGGCUUUGGAAUACAGAGCUUGGAGAGAAGGGGAAGGAAAGAGCUAAGGACUGGACAAAGGAAGAUCUUGCCAUCUGGCAUAGGCAAGAUCUAGCGAUAGAUGUAUAAAAAUAUAAAGAUCAGAGUUCCCGUCGUGGCUCAGUGGUCAAUGAACCCAACCAGCAUCCAUGAGGACGCAGGUUUGAUCCCUGGUCUCACUCAGUAGGUUAAGGAUCUGGCGUUUCCUUGAGCUGUGGUGUAGGUCACAGCUGUGGCUUGGAUCCCACCUUGCUGUGGCUAUGGCAUAGGUUGGCAGCUAUAGCUCCGAUUGGACCCCUAGCCUAGGAACCUCCAUAUGCCACAGGUGAGGCCCUAAAAAGACAAAAAGACAAAAAAUAAAAAUUUUUAAAGAUUGCUUAUAUAAAUCCCUAUCUUAUAGCUAAGGAUAUGGAUUAAUGCAUGGAGGCUAAAACAGUCUCCAUUAUCCAGCAGAUCUGGAUUUCAUCCCAGCUUUGACACUCACUAGCCAGAGAAGCCACUUGACCACCGUGAGCCUAGAUUUUUCCAUCUGCAAAAUGGGUAUAAUGAGACCUUUCUUGAAAAUCUUGCAGGGGGCUUGGGAAAUUUAAGUAAAUUACCAAUAAAUCACCAAGCAUAGCCCGUUUAUUUAGGCACUGAAAACGAAGAGACGUGAGCUGACCUGGAAGACACACAGAAGUUAGGAAGAAGGGAAAUUGGUGGUUGACUGAUCAGAUGUGGGUAGUAAGAGAAAGGGCAGAGGCUGGAUGAUGCUCAGAUGGAGGAUGAGGGACCCCUCCCACAGGUACCCCAGCCUGCCGACCCCCCUUUGUGUAGGAAGCAGAGUAAUCCUCCAUUCCUCCCUCUAUCACUAAGAAAUUCUCUAGAAGGCUCCCAUAAAAGUGAAAAUAAGAAAAAGAAACAUUCAUCAAGUAUAUUUGCUACCUGCCAGCUGAGGACUUUACAUUUAUGUCAUUCCAGCCUCACAACAAUGACCUGUGGGUUAGCAAGUAAUAUCCUGCCAUUUCACACGUGAGGAAACUGAGGCUCAGAGACAGGAAGCAGCAUCCCCAAGCCUCUCAGCAAAUAAGCAGCAGCUUCCGGUCUCAAACCUGGGCCUGACUCCAGCCCACCUGAGCAGCCGAGGUUGCAGGCACCCACCCCCAACCCCAACACACACACAUAGCAGGCAGUCCUCGCCAGUUCUGGCAGGUGACUGAUUUAGAGGGAAGGCUUGUCAAGAACAGCCAGGCGCCUGAGUGAAUUUGUGACCCCACAACCAGGUGUUCCUGCUGCCUGCUGACAGCACCUGGAUUACGGGUGGCAGGAAGAGGAACAGGCCCCAGGCUUUUGACACAGAUUCAUGGCACCAACCAGCUAUAGCUCUCAGGAUCCUCUGGCCCUCAAACAUCUGUGGUUCCCAGUGGCCUUGCUCCUCAAAGGGCGGUCUUAACCCAGCAGGCUUGCCUCACCUGGGAGCUCAUCAGAAAUGCAGAACUUUAUAGAGUUCCCAUGUAGUCCAGUGGGUUAAGAACCCAACAUAGCCUCUGCAAGGAUGGAGGUUCCAUCCCUCACCUUGCUCAGUGGGCUAAGGAUCCAGCAUUGCCACAAUCUGCGGCAUAGGUCACAGAUGCAGCUCAGAUCUGUUUUUGCUGUGGAUAGGGUAUAGGCUGGCAGCUACAGUUCUGAUUUGAUCCCCAGCCUGGGAACUUUCAUAUGCCACAGAUGCAGCUGUAAAAAGAAAAAAAAUGCAGAACCUCAGACCCCCUGGACCUGCUAAAACAGAAUCUGCAGGUGGUUGGCAUACACAUUGACAGAUAAAAAGACCAUUGGCUACAAGUCCAGAGACCUAGGUAAGGGUCCUGACCAGCCACCAAGAGGCUCUGUGACCUUGGCUAAGCCCCUUCUCUUCCCUGAGCCUCGGUUCCUCAUCUGUGCGAUGAGGGUGCCAGGGUGCUUAGAUCAGCUGCUCUCUAAGGGCCUGCCAGCCAGUGGAGGGGACAGAGGCCUGGGAAUUCAGACUCAAAGCUCUGUAAGUAUUUAAACUAAGUAACUAAGUAACGCCACAGGUUUUUACUGAGCACCUACUAUAUGCCAGGCAUGCUAGACCCUGGUGACAGCAGUGAUGACCAAGUCACGGAUCUAAUGAAGUUUAUAUUAAUUAAUUCUCUAGUAAUGAAAUGAAGAUAAAACCCCACCUCUACUCCCUCAAAGCUGUGUGACUUUAGCAACACAAUUCAAUCUCACCACUAUCUAGUUCUCUCACCUGUAAAAUAACAGUAACAAGCGCAGCUGACACGCAUGGACACCUAUUGUCAGACACUAUUCUAAACCCUUACAGGAUUCCCCGGGAGGCAGUAGAGCAUGAGUUCCAACCUCCUGAAAACUGUGGGGCAGUGCUUUCCCUCUCUGUGCAUGGAUUCCUAUGACAGAUGCAGUGCCCCCGGGUCCCUUUCGAGGACUGAUGAACUUAGUGGCCCUAGCAGCUGGGCAUGCUGCCUCUGACAGCCCUCAGUUGGCAGGUUCCUUUGCGGAUGGCCUUGGCUGAAGACAACUGCCUCACCCAAGUUCAUGCUCAUGCCCAGUGUCUGAUCAACCCAGUGACCCAGUGGGUUAAGAAUCUGACUACUAUCCAUGAGGAAGCAGAUUCAAUCCCUGGCCUCGCUCAGUGGCUUAAGGAUCUGGUGUUACUGUGGGCUAGUGUAGGUCACAGAUGCAGCUCAGAUCUGGCAUUGCUGUGGCUGUGGUGUAGGCCAGCAGCUGCAGCUCUGAUUCGACCCCUAACCUGGGAACUUCCAUAUGCCAAGGGUGCAGCCCUAAAAACAAAUAAACAAAAAUAAAUCACAGUGGUACAAAGCCCACCAUGGACCAACAGAAGGACCAUCCAAGCUAGAGCACCCUGUGGGGUCAGCUGAAGUCUUGGCCGAGACCUGUCGCAGUUCAACUUCUCCCUCAGGCCGUCCUGCCUCCACCCCUCCUACUGCGGGUGCAGGUCCCAAGAGCGCUUCCUCUUAAGCAGCUGCAAGCUCUUCUCCAUCCCCUUCUCCAGUCCCUUUCUGGGAACCAUGAAUGAAUGACUGAGUGAAUGAAUGAAUGGCAAAUAGCUCCAUGCAACAGGACUGGGGCGUGCACAGGGGUGCGUGAACACUGCUCAUGAUGUAAACUUAAUUGUGUGGCAUCUCCCUGCGGAGGUUUCCAGAAUAGCACUGCACUGGAGAGAAGACAGCCUGCGCAAAGGAAAGAGUCCUGGCCUGGGAUUCAAGGAGCCCAAAGUCCUGGCUCCUACUAUGCUGUGUAGUCCUGAAGAAACCACUCUACCUCUCUGGGCUUCAAGUCUUCAUUUGCUAAGUCAUCCCCAGGUUGUCAUCUAGCUCAUUCAUUCAGGAAAGAGCCACUCCACAAGAAUAGCCAUCCCAUAACCACAAUAAAUGUUUGCGGAGUAAAGAAUAGGGGACAGAUUGGCCCAGAAUGAUACUGGGAACAGGUACGAGUAGAUAAAAGAAGGAAAUAUAACAUCUUUUUCCUUUGGGCCUGAGGCAGCACUUAAGAUUGAAGUGGGCUACUUUUCAGUACACUACAAAUGCAUAUAUCCUUUGCCCCAACAAUUCCGCUUCUGAAAUUUUUUUUCCUAUAGUUAAACCAGACUUAUCAUGGGGUUAUUCAUUACAACAGUGUUUGUAAUAAUAAAAUAUUAGAAAUAUCCUAGGGACCAUAAAUGAGGAACAGAAUAAAUAAAUUGAAUGAAAUAUUGUGAUACUACAAAAGAAAAAGAUUAAGUCAGCUAUGUGCUGUUAAGGAAAAACCUCGCGAUAGAGUGCCAAGUGAAAAACUAAAGUGCAGAACGNUGGGGGAAUAGUACCUAUGUUUGUGUGCUCUGUGCUUACAGGUACAUAAAACGCCUCUAGGAAAAAAAAAAAACAAAAAAAAAA